AUUGAUUUCAUUUCCUGUACUUGCACAUUUAAGAGACUCAUAAGUUCCUCAAAAAAUCUCUUCUCUGCAUGGACAAAGAUGUAUCAGCUACGAAGGUUGUUACCCAGUAAUCAUCCAUCAAAAGACCCAAAAUAAAAGAAAAGGGACAAAGAUGUAUCAGCUACGAAGGUUGUUACGCAGUAAUCAUCCAUUAAAAGACCCAAAAUAAAAGAAAAGGAAAAGAAUGAAACAUAAAAAUAAAGAAAAGCUAAAACUUAUGCUGGAUAUCCAUCCAAGUGGCAAACUGACUAAUG
This 293-nucleotide long non-coding RNA is filed under the name Panax ginseng (ginseng). Its description in RNAcentral is "long non-coding RNA (PGIN_LNC007803)". Lineage: Eukaryota; Viridiplantae; Streptophyta; Magnoliopsida; Apiales; Araliaceae. The record is from RNAcentral.